Molecule: non-coding RNA, 106 nt
Organism: Triticum aestivum (bread wheat)
Lineage: Eukaryota; Viridiplantae; Streptophyta; Magnoliopsida; Poales; Poaceae
Source: Rfam
AAACUAUUUCCUCCGUCCUAAAAUUCUUGUCUUAGAUUUGUCUAAAUACGUACAUCCGUAUUUAGACAAAUCUAAGACAAGAAUUUUGGGACGGAGGGAGUAGUUA